This 457-nucleotide ribosomal RNA is filed under the name uncultured bacterium. RNAcentral's name for it is "partial 16S ribosomal RNA". It matches the Rfam family "Bacterial small subunit ribosomal RNA", at positions 338 to 795 of the family's 1533-position model. The record is from RNAcentral.
CCUACGGGAGGCUGCAGUGGGGAAUAUUGCACAAUGGGGGAAACCCUGAUGCAGCGACGCCGCGUGAGUGAAGCAGUAUUUCGGUAUGUAAAGCUCUAUCAGCAGGGAAGAAAUAAAGUCCUUCGGACUUUGGACGGUACCUGACUAAGAAGCCCCGGCUAACUACGUGCCAGCAGCAGCGGUAAUACGUAGGGGGCAAGCGUUAUCCGGAUUUACUGGGUGGAAAGGGAGCGUAGACGGCAGCGCAGAUAUGGAGUGAAAUCCCAUGGCUUAACCAUGGAACUGCUUUGGAAACUGUGCAGCUGGAGUGCAGGAGGGGUAAGCGGAAUUCCUAGUGUAGCGGUGAAAUGCGUAGAUAUUAGGAGGAACACCAGUGGCGAAGGCGGCUUACUGGACUGUAACUGACGUUGAGGCUCGAAAGCGUGGGGAGCAAACAGGAUUAGAUACCCCAGUAGUC